Molecule: non-coding RNA, 73 nt
Organism: Ornithorhynchus anatinus (platypus)
Lineage: Eukaryota; Metazoa; Chordata; Mammalia; Monotremata; Ornithorhynchidae
Source: the annotation of a RefSeq genome assembly
GCCGGAAUGGCUCAGUUGGAAGAACGUUAGACUGGAGAUCUAAAGGUCCCUGGUGCCAACCCGGGUUUCGGCA